RNAcentral lists this ribosomal RNA (394 nucleotides) under uncultured bacterium. Its description in RNAcentral is "bacterial SSU rRNA". It matches the Rfam family "Bacterial small subunit ribosomal RNA", at positions 505 to 898 of the family's 1533-position model. The record is from RNAcentral.
GUGUCAGCAGCCGCGGUAAUACAGAGGGUGCGAGCGUUAAUCGGAAUUACUGGGCGUAAAGCGCACGUAGAUGGCUUCGUAAGUCGGAUGUGAAAUCCCCGGGCUCAACCUGGGAACUGCAUUCGAAACUGCGUUGCUCGAAUGUGGAAGAGGGAAGCGGAAUUCCAGGUGUAGCGGUGAAAUGCGUAGAUAUCUGGAGGAACAUCAGUGGCGAAAGCGGCUUCCUGGUCCAACAUUGACAUUCAGGUGCGAAAGCGUGGGGAGCAAACAGGAUUAGAUACCCUGGUAGUCCACGCCAUAAACGAUGCGAACUAGAUGUCGAGAGGGUCAGCCUCCCGGUGUCGCAGCUAACGCGGUAAGUUCGCCGCCUGGGGAGUACGGCCGCAAGGUUGAA